RNAcentral lists this ribosomal RNA (497 nucleotides) under uncultured bacterium. Its description in RNAcentral is "partial 16S ribosomal RNA". It matches the Rfam family "Bacterial small subunit ribosomal RNA", at positions 28 to 507 of the family's 1533-position model. The record is from RNAcentral.
GAUGAACGCUGGCGGCGUGCCUAAUACAUGCCAGUCGAGCGAACAGAUGAGGAGCUUGCUCCUCUGACGUUAGCGGCGGACGGGUGAGUAACACGUGGAUAACCUACCUAUAAGACUGGGAUAACUUCGGGAAACCGGAGCUAAUACCGGAUAAUAUAUUGAACCGCAUGGUUCAAUAGUGAAAGACGGUUUUGCUGUCACUUAUAGAUGGAUCCGCGCCGCAUUAGCUAGUUGGUAAGGUAACGGCUUACCAAGGCAACGAUGCGUAGCCGACCUGAGAGGGUGAUCGGCCACACUGGAACUGAGACACGGCCCAGACUCCUACGGGAGGCAGCAGUAGGGAAUCUUCCGCAAUGGGCGAAAGCCUGACGGAGCAACGCCGCGUGAGUGAUGAAGGUCUUCGGAUCGUAAAACUCUGUUAUUAGGGAAGAACAAAUGUGUAAGUAACUAUGCACGUCUUGACGGUACCUAAUCAGAAAGCCACGGCUAACUACGUG